This 429-nucleotide ribosomal RNA is filed under the name Pseudomonadota bacterium. RNAcentral's name for it is "Proteobacteria bacterium partial 16S ribosomal RNA". It matches the Rfam family "Bacterial small subunit ribosomal RNA", at positions 355 to 776 of the family's 1533-position model. The record is from RNAcentral. Lineage: Bacteria; Pseudomonadati; Pseudomonadota.
UGGGGAAUAUUGGACAAUGGGCGAAAGCCUGAUCCAGCCAUGCCGCGUGUGUGAAGAAGGUCUUCGGAUUGUAAAGCACUUUAAGUUGGGAGGAAGGGCAGUAAGCGAAUACCUUGCUGUUUUGACGUUACCGACAGAAGAAGCACCGGCUAACUCUGUGCCAGCAGCCGCGGUAAUACAGAGGGUGCAAGCGUUAAUCGGAAUUACUGGGCGUAAAGCGCGCGUAGGUGGUUCGUUAAGUUGAAUGUGAAAGCCCCGGGCUCAACCUGGGAACUGCAUCCAGAACUGGCGAGCUAGAGUAGGGCAGAGGGUGGUGGAAUUUCCUGUGUAGCGGUGAAAUGCGUAGAUAUAGGAAGGAACACCAGUGGCGAAGGCGACCACCUGGUCUCAUACUGACACUGAGGUGCGAAAGCGUGGGGAGCAAACAGG